Non-coding RNA from Cinara cedri, 347 nucleotides. The record is from the annotation of a GenBank genome assembly. Lineage: Eukaryota; Metazoa; Arthropoda; Insecta; Hemiptera; Aphididae.
ACUGUUAGUACGCGUGCACGUUGGGACAUCCGUGUAACCGUCUCUGUAAGUAAAGAGACUUGACUAAACGCGCAACAUUAGUAUUAUUAUAGCGCGUAGAUGUUCCACGCAGUGGAAACACCGCAGUAUUUUUAAACCGAUUUUCCGAAGAAAUACAUAAAAAAAACCCAAAGAAUUGCCGACAGCCGACAAUCAUUGGAAAACAUAAUAUUAUUAUCUAUUCGUUGUUUAGGGCCAUCGGGAAGAUGGGAACUAAACAUAUAAUAUACAGAGUAUCCUAACAGUGUUAUCCGAAUACUAAUAAUUCUGUCAACAUACUUUGUUUACACUUUUUUUUGAAUUUUGAA